Molecule: long non-coding RNA, 609 nt
Organism: Cyprinus carpio (common carp)
Lineage: Eukaryota; Metazoa; Chordata; Actinopteri; Cypriniformes; Cyprinidae
Source: Ensembl
GCUCCUACUGAAUAAUGCCACCCUAAACGGACAAAAAAGACUUUCCCUGGAGAACAAAGAUAAGCCAGAGAUAGACGGAUAGAUAGAGGGGCAAGAGAGGACGAUCGCUUCAGAGACAAGGGCAGACGUCCACCCACACACUCGCCCAGACCGGAGGUCGUAAUGCAAAGGCUGAUGGGGCGUGAUCAGAGAGGAAAUGGGCAGGUUUAUGCUGAAUUAUAGAUGUGUCCCGUUAAACAGUCAUUGGGCUGCGGGAUAACAGCUCUAGGAUGUCAUUGUCAGGAAGCUGUAUUAGCAUUGCUCAAAGAGGCUUUGACCUGUGAGGUGUGAGAGUCGUGCAGGUAUGGGACAGACGUGGCCUGACCCCCAACAACAGGGCAGCGGGGACACAAUCUGCUCUGAGACCCACUCCUGUGCUCGUCGGUCAUGAUGCAACGGUCACUGAAUGAGAAGCUGCUCUGUGAAGAUGCCGCAGUGUCCCGGGGAGAGAUGGGAAGGAACAAAAGAAAGUUUGCAAAGAAAGGAAGAUGGGAGGAUCGAGAGACAAAAAGAGAAAAUGCACGAUCACUUUGUCAUCUAUUGAAGCUCAUGCAAACACUGCCGCCCUAA